GUGGGGAAUAUUGGACAAUGGGCGAAAGCCUGAUCCAGCCAUGCCGCGUGUGUGAAGAAGGUCUUCGGAUUGUAAAGCACUUUAAGUUGGGAGGAAGGGCAGUAAGUUAAUACCUUGCUGUUUUGACGUUACCGACAGAAUAAGCACCGGCUAACUUCGUGCCAGCAGCCGCGGUAAUACGAGGGGUGCAAGCGUUAAUCGGAAUUACUGGGCGUAAAGCGCGCGUAGGUGGUUUUGUAAGUUGGAGGUGAAAUCCCCGGGCUCAACCUGGGAACUGCCUCCAAAACUGCAUGACUAGAGUACGGUAGAGGGUAGUGGAAUUUCCUGUGUAGCGGUGAAAUGCGUAGAUAUAGGAAGGAACACCAGUGGCGAAGGCGACUACCUGGACUGAUACUGACACUGAGGUGCGAAAGCGUGGGGAGCAAACAGGAUUAGAUACCCCGGUAGUCC
RNAcentral lists this ribosomal RNA (450 nucleotides) under uncultured bacterium. RNAcentral's name for it is "partial 16S ribosomal RNA". It matches the Rfam family "Bacterial small subunit ribosomal RNA", at positions 354 to 796 of the family's 1533-position model. The record is from RNAcentral.